AGGAACUUUUGUUUAUGUGAGUUAUAUCUAUUAAUAUUUAUCACCCAGAAAAUUAAAAUUGAAAAGUUUUGAAAACCAGGAACACAUGAGCACCAUCGCUUAACAUAACCUCUGAAAAACUCGUCUGUAUGCUUACAUGAUGCAAUGUCACUUCUGAGUUUAGACCAUAAAAGACUUAUUUUUUUCUUGGCAGCACAUUUUCUCGAGACGCUUUUAUCAUUUCUUACAUCGUUUUCUUAGAAUGGUAUUAUUGCAAUUGAAAGUUUUUGCCACUGCUCAAACUAAACACUUAUGUUCAGAAAUACUUACAAUGCCAAAAAUUAACAUUAUUAAAAAUACAUUGUAUUGAUUUACAGUAAAUAUCCUAAGACAUAUGCAAGGAAAUGCACAUCAACCCACAGUACACAAUCCACUAAAGUAAUUAAGUAAUUACUUGCAGGAACACAUUCCUCAUUCAAAUAUAAUAAUGUAUAGCAUUAUCAACAUUUUUCUUACUGAGGAUUAAGAGCAUUAAGAAAAUUAAGCAUCAUUAAAAGGUUUGACAUGAAAUUACAUAGUAAAUUAUUAAAGUUAAACCGAUUUUUGAUUCAUCAACGUGUUUUGUUCUUUUAUUUAGUGAGAAUCAAUUUAGUGAAGGGGAAAAUAGAGAGAGGAGAGAGAGAAGACAGAAAAUCAAAGAGACUGGCA
Molecule: long non-coding RNA, 687 nt
Filed under: Homo sapiens (human)
Lineage: Eukaryota; Metazoa; Chordata; Mammalia; Primates; Hominidae
Description: non-protein coding lnc-LRRTM1-15:1
Source: RNAcentral